Molecule: long non-coding RNA, 3561 nt
Organism: Ctenopharyngodon idella (grass carp)
Lineage: Eukaryota; Metazoa; Chordata; Actinopteri; Cypriniformes; Xenocyprididae
Exons: 4
Source: RefSeq, a predicted model, not a curated record
UUUCCACUGGUCUGUAUAUCGUCUCUCCAGAUCUGCAUCUUUAUGUUGUUCUGCUAAAUUAACACGUCUGAUGUUUUGUUUUCAGAUGAAGCUGCAGGAACAUCAUGUGCUUCUGGAAACAAACAGAUCUCUGUUGAGACGACGACGAGCAGCGAGCGGAUCACCAGAAUCACAUGAUCCUCGCAAACACACGAGAGGCUGCGUUCUCCAAACCUGCUGGACGAGUGCCGAGGACGAACAGGUGAGGAGGAGAAUUCAACGACUGAGCUUCAGCUCGACUGGACCACGAUGCUUUACUUUCAUUUAGUCGUUGAAGAAAAACUGUCACAUGAUCAAGUGUCUUCAGCUUUCCGAAAAUCAACAGCUCAAACUCGACAUGCAUGAAGAAACGACAGCGACAACAUCAACAUCUUCGUGUUAUGCAGACGAGGGCGCUGCUCCAUACAACAGCCUCAAGUCAUGUUAUCGCUCGUCUUCCGCUACAAACGGUGCUAAUUUUCCCAUCGAAAACUGGAUUACAACGAAUGAACAAAAUCACCACCACCAUCAUCAACUUUAAAUAUUUCAUCUCAUCGAGGCGGAGAAAAGGACACAACCCUGCAGACAACAGGUAAAUGCCGUUAUCGCUGUUUUCCGUGUUUGUGAAGUAAAUAUGUUUACACAUCUUAUUAAAAAUGCCAGGUGCCGGUGUUUGACAUGUGUUUGACCAAUCAACAUACACAUAUGUCACUGAUAGUUCCUAUAGUGCUGGUUUAGGGUGUGUUCACACUUGUGGUUUGGUUCGCUUGGUUCGUUUGGUCUGGACCAAAAAAACAGAAAAACAUUUAGCGUUCAGAUUGGCAUUUUUAUCGCUGAACCAAAAGGUACUGAACCUAAAGGCACAGGGACACGUUCACAAUCUGACUGGUCGGUGUAAAGCCUGUGGGACAGAGUUUGCAGGUAACACAGCGUUUGCCAUUGAAUAAACUCAUUUUAAGCGCGAGAGCUUAGUUAAACUUGGAAAGAGUGCCAAGCACAAGAAGUGUGUGUGGCAAACAAAUCAGGUUCGAUUAUUAAGGCUUUCAAUCGCCAGGAUGCUGCCGGCUGUUCCGCUCAAUUGGCAGAGCUGAAUGUCAAAUUUAACACGGCCUACACCAUCACCAAAGAAGAGAACCGUGAGAACACCACAGUUACAUUAUCGUCAGCUCAGUACAUCCCUUUCAUUAUCGAUGGAGACACCGACCUGUCUGUCAAGGAGUGUGUGAUAAUCUAUGUCCGCGUCCUGCUUGAUGGACAGCCCACAAACAUCCUCGUCGGACAUGUUGAGGUGGAACACGCAAAUUCUGAUGGUGAGGAUGUUUUUUUAUUUAUUUACUUUUUAUAUUUAUUAUUAUUAUUAUUAUUAUUAAUACACAGCCUAUUUAGUAUUAAAUAGUAAUAUACAAUUAAUAUCAUAAUUAAUCAGUUUCUUACUGAAUGCGUAUGUUGGUUUUUCUAUUGUAAUUGGUAGAGCUGCAUGAUUCUGGAUAAAUUGAGAAUCACAAGUUUUUUGUUUCAAACACAAAUCACAAUUCUCCCAUGAUUCUGAACAACUAAACAAAAUAACAUGUGAUUUACUAUAGGUUCUGACAAUAUGUCAAUUGCUGCAGUCUGUUUAAAAUGUUUAAUUGAUCUGAACAAAUUAUUUUAAAAAACGGUUUGAUGAAUGAUUCAAUGACUCGCUCAUGAAUACUUCACUUGUUUCAUUACUAGAUGAAUCAGUGUUUUUCUGAAUGAAUCUCUUGAAUGAAUGAUUCAAUGACAAAUAGAUUUUAUAACAGUCACUUGUCACCACCUUGUGGCAUAAUGAUGUAAUCGAUACAAUUGUUAUUUCAAGUUAUCUAUUACUUUCAAAAGGUGCAGUGCUCUAUUGUGAUCGCUUCUGUAGACGCCAGUGUUUAUAUUCAUUGUAUUUAUAUAAACUUUUAUUCAUGUUUAAUAGGCAAAUUUUUGUCAUUUAGGAAUGAUAUCGCAAUGUUUUAAUGAUUAAUCAUGCAGCUCUAGUAACUGGAUUUAUUUGUUGAAUGUAAACAGUAUUUAAACCAGUGGGAAUUAUUUUAGGAAUCUUUGAAGCCACCAAGUCAGCAUUUGCUGGUCCUGGAGAGUCAUGCCGUGAAUCUUGGGAGGAAGGGAGGAGUAUCGGUGAAACUCCAAGAGGAGGCGGGAAAGCACAUCAUCCCAUUUCACUGCAUGCCUCAUAGGUGAGUUGAUAAUGGUCAUUAACUCCCAGAUUUAAAAAAAAAAAAAAAAAAAAAAAAAAGAAGAAGAAGCAGCUAAGGCUCUCUGUCUUGAUAGCAAACUGAAAUGUCAGAUUUGUUCACUAUUAUAGAUUGGACCUUGCCCUACUGUCUGCCCAGUAGGAUUCACCUUGGGUAGGCAAUGUGUACAACCUGCUCCACUUAAUUUGGAAGACUUACCACUUCAGCUAAAAAUCCAGAAGGGAGUUAAAACACUUUGGAGUUGAACUGGAUGUGUCGGUGAACAAUCCACAUGUUACCACAUGUAUCCGGGGCAAGGGAAGGAGGGGACGCUGGCCAGUACACAGCUGUAUAUGCUCAUAUGGACCAUGCAUCAUCAAUGAAUGCCGAUAUAGCUGGCAGAGCAAAGCAUGGCAGUGUAAAGUAUAGGUGGAAAUGUUCAUUUGUGGAAAUGGCCCCUGUAAAGUGAGUUAAAGGGAGGAGAGUGUAUAAAUUUGCUGUGUUCUUCUAUGCAGGUCAAAGAGAGCGUGGAGGAUGGCUCAUUCCUGGCAUUCUGUCAUUUCUUGGCAGAUUUAUUUUCUGCCAUCAGUAAAUACAUUUCUAUUUCUGCAAAGAAAUGAUGUGAUCCUCCCCCAGGUAAGCUUUACCUAGUGGUCAAAGAAUAAAUCAUCAUUAUUUGAAAUCUCAGUUCUUUGCCAUGUUAAGAGUGCGACAAAGUUAUGUCUAGAUGGAAUCACAUUAACAGGCAGACAGCAGUCUGAGGAACCUUAUCCUCAACAUGGCUCUGAGGUCAUGUCCAAGUAAAUCAAUCAAAUAAUCACAAUAUAGAUUGUUUUUGUUAAAAGUUUUAAGCAUUUAAGAGCCAACCUGUUACAGUUGGAUUGUAUCUAAGUAAGGAAUGGUUGUGACUGUGCUCUUGCUGAGGAGGAGUUCCAGACCUUAAAACUCUGGUGUUCAUGUCCUUCAAAGACAAGAGCUACCAUGGCUUAUGGGAAGUCCUUCUGACCAAGGAACCCUAUUGUUCAGAUUUACAGAACAUCCUUCAUCUGGUAAGGAUCAUGUCGGUGCAGUGUGAGAGAGGGUUCUCUGUCCAGAAGCGCAUUAAAAAGUCAGACAUUAGAUCUUCAUUACACCCCAACACAGUAGAAGAUCUGAUCCGAAUCAGUGUUGAGGGUCCUCCUUUGGAGGCGUUCGAUGCCUCAGCCUCAGUGGAGAAAUGGAUGGAGGAGGGCUAAAGAGCCACAAGACCAAAUUUCAAAUCCUGGCCAAAGGAUGUGUAAAGCCCCAGUGAUUGUUGGUGUUGAUUGGUGUUGUUUUUAAAUAAAAGAAAUCUGUUAAUAUAUAA